This 1449-nucleotide ribosomal RNA is filed under the name uncultured organism. RNAcentral's name for it is "16S ribosomal RNA". It matches the Rfam family "Bacterial small subunit ribosomal RNA". The record is from RNAcentral.
AUGAACGCUAGCUACAGGCUUAACACAUGCAAGUCGAGGGGCAGCAUUUUAGUUUGCUUGCAAACUGAAGAUGGCGACCGGCGCACGGGUGAGUAACACGUAUCCAACCUGCCGAUAACUCCGGAAUAGCCUUUCGAAAGAAAGAUUAAUACCGGAUAGCAUACGAAUAUCGCAUGAUAUUUUUAUUAAAGAAUUUCGGUUAUCGAUGGGGAUGCGUUCCAUUAGUUUGUUGGCGGGGUAACGGCCCACCAAGACAACGAUGGAUAGGGGUUCUGAGAGGAAGGUCCCCCACAUUGGAACUGAGACACGGUCCAAACUCCUACGGGAGGCAGCAGUGAGGAAUAUUGGUCAAUGGGCGAGAGCCUGAACCAGCCAAGUAGCGUGAAGGAUGAAGGCUCUAUGGGUCGUAAACUUCUUUUAUAUGGGAAUAAAGUUUUCCACGUGUGGAAUUUUGUAUGUACCAUAUGAAUAAGGAUCGGCUAACUCCGUGCCAGCAGCCGCGGUAAUACGGAGGAUCCGAGCGUUAUCCGGAUUUAUUGGGUUUAAAGGGAGCGUAGGUGGAUUGUUAAGUCAGUUGUGAAAGUUUGCGGCUCAACCGUAAAAUUGCAGUUGAAACUGGCAGUCUUGAGUACAGUAGAGGUGGGCGGAAUUCGUGGUGUAGCGGUGAAAUGCUUAGAUAUCACGAAGAACUCCGAUUGCGAAGGCAGCUCACUAGACUGUCACUGACACUGAUGCUCGAAAGUGUGGGUAUCAAACAAGAUUAGAUACCCUGGUAGUCCACACAGUAAACGAUGAAUACUCGCUGUUUGCGAUAUACAGUAAGCGGCCAAGCGAAAGCAUUAAGUAUUCCACCUGGGGAGUACGCCGGCAACGGUGAAACUCAAAGGAAUUGACGGGGGCCCGCACAAGCGGAGGAACAUGUGGUUUAAUUCGAUGAUACGCGAGGAACCUUACCCGGGCUUAAAUUGCAACAGAAUAUAUUGGAAACAGUAUAGCCGUAAGGCUGUUGUGAAGGUGCUGCAUGGUUGUCGUCAGCUCGUGCCGUGAGGUGUCGGCUUAAGUGCCAUAACGAGCGCAACCCUUAUCUUUAGUUACUAACAGGUGAUGCUGAGGACUCUAGAGAGACUGCCGUCGUAAGAUGUGAGGAAGGUGGGGAUGACGUCAAAUCAGCACGGCCCUUACGUCCGGGGCUACACACGUGUUACAAUGGGGGGUACAGAAGGCGGCUACCUGGUGACAGGAUGCUAAUCCCAAAAACCUCUCUCAGUUCGGAUCGAAGUCUGCAACCCGACUUCGUGAAGCUGGAUUCGCUAGUAAUCGCGCAUCAGCCAUGGCGCGGUGAAUACGUUCCCGGGCCUUGUACACACCGCCCGUCAACCCAUGAAAGCCGGGGGUACCUGAAGUACGUAACCGCAAGGAGCGUCCUAGGGUAAAACUGGUAAUUGGGGC